RNAcentral lists this ribosomal RNA (253 nucleotides) under uncultured bacterium. RNAcentral's name for it is "partial 16S ribosomal RNA". It matches the Rfam family "Bacterial small subunit ribosomal RNA", at positions 524 to 776 of the family's 1533-position model. The record is from RNAcentral.
UACGUAGGGGGCAAGCGUUGUCCGGAUUUAUUGGGCGUAAAGAGCGUGUAGGCGGCCAGGUAGGUCCGCUGUGAAAACUCGAGGCUCAACCUCGAGAUGUCGGCGGAAACCAUCUGGCUAGAGUCCGGAAGAGGAGAGUGGAAUUCCUGGUGUAGCGGUGAAAUGCGUAGAUAUCUGGAGGAACACCGGUGGCGAAGGCGGCAUUCUGGACCGAUAUUGACGCUGAGGAGCGAAAGCCAGGGGAGCAAACGGG